RNAcentral lists this long non-coding RNA (480 nucleotides) under Phoenix dactylifera (date palm). RNAcentral describes it as "long non-coding RNA (PDAC_LNC022863)". Lineage: Eukaryota; Viridiplantae; Streptophyta; Magnoliopsida; Arecales; Arecaceae. The record is from RNAcentral.
AUGCUAUUAUCUUUAGAAUUUGUGAUUAUGCAUACUGAAGCUUCAAAUGUGACUUUAAGACCUUUAUCACAAAAUUGACUUAUGCUAAGUAGGUUAUGUUUCAGACCAUUAACUAAUAAAACAUUUUCUAUAAAGGUGGAUGGAGUAAUGUAAAUUUUAUCCUUUUCAAUGAUAAAUCCUUUUCCAUUGUCUCCACAGGUUACCACUCCACCCUUCUUAGAUUCCAAGGUGACAAAUUGUUCUACGUCACCUGUCAUGUGUCUUGAACAGCCGCUAUCUAGAUACCAUCGUUUAUCCACCUUAUUAGCUGCAAGACACCCCAGCAAUCAAGAUCAAGAAUAUGCUUUAGGUACCCAAACUAUGUUGGGUCCUUUAGGGUUAGUACUUGAUGUUCCUUUUGGAACCCAAAUUUUUUUGGAUUUUAGCUUAUAAUUAUUACUCAAUUUGUUGUAGCUAGACUUUCUAUAAUUACAUUCAUAU